Molecule: ribosomal RNA, 468 nt
Filed under: uncultured bacterium
Lineage: Bacteria
Description: partial 16S ribosomal RNA
Rfam family: Bacterial small subunit ribosomal RNA
Source: RNAcentral
GACGAACGCUGGCGGCGUGCCUAACACAUGCAAGUCGAACGGACAGGCGCUGCUCUUGUGGCUUUCUCGUUUGGGGCAGGGGUGAGUAUAACGCGAGUAUCCUGUCCUUGUCUUUGGGAUAACUUUACGAAACUGGGGCUAAUAUAGGAUAGGAUCUCUUGCUGCACGGUGGGGGUUGGAAAAUUUCGGCGGUUGGGGAUGGACUCGCGGGUUAUCAGCUGGAUGGGCGGGUUGGUGCUUUCCAAGGCUUCGACGGGUAGCAGGCCUGAGCAGGUUACCGGCCACAUGGGGACUGAGAUACGGCCCAGACUCCAACGGGAGGCAGCAGUGGGGAAUAUUGCACAAUAGGCGCAAGCCUGUUGCAGCAACGCCGCGUGCGGGAUGACGGCCUUCGAGUUGUAAACCGCUUUCGCCGGUGACGAAGCGUGAGUGACGGUAAUGGGUAAAGAAGCACCGGCUAACUACGUG